RNA transcript from Spinacia oleracea (spinach), 5423 nucleotides. RefSeq lists it as uncharacterized. NCBI's taxonomy places the organism in Eukaryota, Viridiplantae, Streptophyta, Magnoliopsida, Caryophyllales, Amaranthaceae. The record is from RefSeq and is a predicted model, not a curated record. The transcript is spliced from 3 exons.
AAACGCUAUUGAAAACGUAAUUAAAAAACAACAAAAAAAAGCUAAAACUAAGAACCGCUAAAUCAUUUUAUUUCCCACAUUUCUUUACUCUGCGAAAACCAAAACCUCAAACCUAAGACUCUCCAUGGACGGCGAAACCUACCAUAAUCCUCUACGCGGCGACGAUUUACGGUGGUGGAGAUUUAGGUGGCAGCGUUUUCUUUUCCCGGUGGUGCUUUUCCGACGGAAUUUCGAAUUUCAAGGUAAUCUCCCUUUCUUUUGCGAAAUUCUGUAAAUUUAUGGUGGGUUGUUCUUAUUUUGCGUUUGAAGUGUGGGAUUAUUGUUAAUUUAUUUUAUUGAAUUGGUUUUGUGGGGAGGGGGUUUGGAUUCAGUUAGGGUUGGUUAAUCAUGGGUUUUGUGUAUUAUUCCUCUGAAUUGGUAGAUGUAACUCAUGUAAGUAGCCAUAUUUAGUUUCGAUUUGGGUUCUGAUUCUUUAUUUUGAUAAUGGGUUGAUUCAUUUUUUGAUUUCAUGAUUGCACUGGAGUACUACGUUUUUGCUGAUUUUGUAGUCGUUUUAAUUGGCAAAUCCGGAAUUCUUAUCAAAAUUAUUAUUUUCUAAUCAAGAUUGUUAAGUUGACAAAGUCUUGGUAAGAUGAUUGCGAAACUUCAACUCCGUACUUAAGAGAUGCCUAUAUGUCAACCGAAAAGGAUUGAGAGGCAAUGAGAGCAUGUGUUGUUGUUGCCAUAAACAAGGCAAAUAGUGAAACAAAUGGGUACUCAUUUAAUUUUUUUUGGUGCAAAUGAGGGGUAUGACCCCGACAAAAACUAAAUUAAGCAACAAAACGUGGUGUAGUAACACCAAUGACAUCCUCGCGAAGGAGGCUAACAAUGUCCCCUAUUGGGCUAUGAUAAAAUAAAAGACGUUCUUCUUGGCUAACACCAAUAUUAGCUAAUUUAUCAGCCACUCUAUUUCCUUCCCUAUAACAGUGGAUUACCCGAACUUCCCACAAAAUCGAACUGAUUAUUUCUCUUCAAUGAUUGAUGAUAUGGUAGCACUCCCCGCCUUGAUACUCACUUCUUUUAAGAACAUGUACACACGCUUCAUUAUCAACUUGAAUCACUAGCUUCUUACAUCCCAUCUCCAUAGCCAUAUCAAUACCAAUGGAUAAUGCCAUAAAUUCUGCUUUGAAGGCUGAGCAAAUUCCGAAGUUUGCUAUAAAGGCUAGGUGGAACGUACCAUUGGUAUCCCUUAUAACACCACCUCCACCAGCAGGCCCUGGAGUUCCUUUUGAUGCUCCGUCUGUGUUCAAAGCAACCCAAUCCUCUGCUGGGGCGUUCCAUUAAUAAAUAUCUCCCUUCUUAUUCUCCCUUCUCAUUUAAUAGUUGAUAGUUGAUGCAUUAAUUAUUUAAUUUGGACAAUUAGAAGUAAUUAAGUUGUCAUCAAAGUAAAACAAGUUGCCGAACAGAAAACAUCGAACAAUCCCACGUGCUUUUUUUCACUUUCAGCAAUAAGGACCAUUUUUUUUAAUUUACCUAGUCGAGCAUACUGCAGUGAGCAGCAGCAUACUGCAGUCAGCAGCAGCAUACUGCACUUAGCAGCAACAUACUACAGUCAGCAGCAGCAACAUACUGCAAUCAGCAGCAGUAUACAAUCAGCUGACUCGUUCUACCUUUUCUGGUUCUUAUACUCUCUAAUUCAGUUUAAGUGCUUUCAUUUGAACAACUAACGUGAUAAAGUUUCAUUUAUAGGAGAUAGUUUGAACAACUAACGUUACAAAGUUUUAUUUAAGAAAAAAGCAUGUUUAGUUAGCUUAAGCGCCUAAUUCUGGGAUAGUGAAACCCUUAAGCUAUAAACAUGGUUUUUGGAAUUUUGGAAUAAUGGGAUUGUAUUUCCAGAACUAUAAUAAUGGAAGAAAAUGUAAUAGCUCUCAACUAGAAAUUCAAUUGGUGAGGUCGUGGCCGAGACAACAGUUUUGAUAAUUGGAGUGUUGUUAGCUAAGGCUUUUAGAGCUCCAAGGAUUGUGGUGGCUGAUGUAGAUGAAAAUCGUCUCUCAGUUGCCAAGCAAAGAGUCUUGGUGCUUAUGCUGUUAUCCAAGUUUCCACCAAUAAGGAGGAUGCUGCUUGAUCUUUUGGUUAUGGAAUGAAAGAGAUUUUUGCGUAGAUGGUGGAGUGCUUCCUUUCCUGAUUAUUCUUGAUGAUGGGUAUUGGAAUACAUCAGCUUAAGAGAUGUAAGUUCGACAAAUGUGACUUGUGCCAACCGAGUUGCGAAAAACUAAACCAGGCAAGUUGACUUGUGAAAAAAAUAUGUGUGUUUGCUAGACUAUUUAAUAUCAUCAACAUGCUUAUAAUUUGGUAUACGACAGGGGAGAACCAGAAACCUUUGCCAAAGGACAAUAGGGAGAAGACUAUAGAAUGGUUAGACAAAUUAAGACAUUUUCUCUUCCAACUUCUAAAGGUCUUCUAGAAGUCAAUCUGUCAAUGCGAGAGCCGAGAGGACUGUUCUGUAUAUUAAAUCAUAUUUUCACAUAUUUGCACAUAGCUCUGUCACCUAGACUGUCCCCAAGUUUCAUAAACAAAUCAAAUGUUACUUUUUCAUUAAAUAAACGGAUAUUUCAUGAAAUGCCCCCGAGUUUUGCCAUAAUUCACCAAACGCCCAUCAAGUUUCAAUAAUUCAUAAAAUACCCCUCACAAUUCGUACAAAUACCCAACAUACCCUUACUAAUAACGGACUGUUAGUCUGCCGUUAGCCAAGUUUCCAAUUCACCCAAAUGCCCCUAUUCUGAAACUUAUUUCACCAAAUGCCCCUAUUGUGAAACUUAUUUCCACCAAAUGCCCCAAACUUAAAUAUAGCUAUUUUGAUGUUUCAGCGACUAGUUUUUGUGUUUGAAAGGUAGCUGUUGGUCACGGUUGACUAUAAAAGCCCCUUUGCUGAAUGGUUCUUGUAAGUUAGAUGUUAUUUUGAUUUGCAUUGCUAAUUUCAUAAGAUUUUUGUCAUGAGUUUUCUUUCAAAAUCAUCAUCCACACCCAAUGAGUCCACAUAUAUUAGAGUACCUACCAAAUUUUGUUAUUGUGGUAAGAAAUUUGUCAUUCGAAGCUCUGAUAUAACACUCAAUCCACAAAGGUUGUACUACAAGUGUGAUCCUUGAAACAAUCUGAGAUGGUACAAGGGAGUAGUUGAGCAAGAAAACAAGGGGCAACAACACGAAGGACAAUGCGGGGGAAGCUUAGACGAAGGAGAAAGUAUUGAAAACAGGCGAAACAGUAAGAUGCAAGAAGAAUUGAAGCAAAUGAAGAAGAAGCUAAAACAACAACAAAAAGUAGUCAAAGUUGUAAUACAAAUGGGGAUAUUGAUGUUUGUAAUUUUACUGUUUGUAAUCAUGAAGUAAACACAAAUAAUGAGAAACAAAUUCACAUUUCAUAAAUAAUUGGUGUUGCAUAAUCUGCACAAAUUACCAAACUGGGAAACAUUCCUGUUUUUAGCUUCACUUACAAAACAUCUUUGCACCAACUACUUUUAAUGUUAUAUAUUUUCUACUCAAUGAAUAUGUGCAAGAUCAAAACAGAUGUGCAAAAAACUACCCCAAAAGGCAUUAGCAGCUAUCCAGAAGAGCUUGUGGAACACCACUUCAACCUCUAUUCCUACCACAAUAACAAAAUUUGUUAGGUACCCUAAUAUAUGUGGACUCAUUGGGUGUGGAAGAUGAUUUUGAAAGAAAACUCAUGACACAAAUCUUAUGAAAUUAGCAAAGUAAAGUAAAAUAACAUCUAAAAUACAAGAACCAUUCAGCAAAGGGGUUUUUUUAGCCAACCAUGACCAAGAAUCACUUUUCAAACACAAAAACUAGCCGUCGGAACAUCAUAAUAGCUAUAUUUAAAUUUGGGGCAUUUGGUGAAAUAAGUUUCAUAAUAGGGGCAUUUGGUGAAAUAAGUUUUAGAAUAGGGGCAUUUGGGUGAAUUGGAAACUUGGCUAACGGCGGACUAACGGCCCGUUAUUAGUAAGGGUAUGUUUGGUAUUUGUACGAAUUGUGAGGGGUAUUUUAUGAAUUAUUGAAACUUGAUGGGCGUUUGGUGAAUUAUGGCAAAACUCGAGGGCAUUUCAUGAAAUUUCCGUUAAAUAAAUUAAAAAAAUUCAUUGAACCAUGUGCAUAUGUCAAUUUCAUUUCUUUUCUUAAUAAGUUAUUCGCUAAGUUUAGACAAGGAUGGCUGAUCAAAUUACCAUUCACUGUAUCUUUCUCCUUCUUACUAAGUUUCCAACAUAUUUUUUUGGUCAGUUUAGAGUUUUAGACAUGGUCAAGCUGACUCCUGAAUCACUUGACCAUUCCUACCAGAAAAAAGGAAGGCUGCAAACACUGAUCAACACUGAUCAACACCUGAAACCCCUGCAAGAAGAUCCAGAUCACUGUCAGCUAGAAAUUUUCUGACAAAAGUAGCAGCCACCUACAGUUAUUACUUAGUUCUUAUCAUUAUUAUAAGAUUUUGAAGGUUUUUUUUAUGGGAGAACAAGCAAUCCUCGUUCUUAUACUCAUUCUGACUUCGAGGAUAGCUAGCUCUCGUUCUCGUACCCCAGGUCGUGUGGACUCUUGACUAAGGAGAAUGUUGAAGAUUUGAGGUUGGAUCACAUUGGGGACACAACUACAAAACAUAAUAUUUCUAUUCUUCUCAAGGUAAAUAGAUUGAAAUUAAUAUUUCUUAUUUUCAAAAACAACCUGCCACAUGCUUGUGAUUAGGACGAGUUUGUUUUCAAGAACGUAUUGGGCAAAAUGAAAACUACUAUUAUAUUAGCCAGAUACAAGGGAAUUUCAAGGGAUUUCUUGUGUUAGGUCCCUUACUUUAUUAGACUGUGGGUCCCUUCUGUUUAAUACCCUUGAUGUCAAUGUUGUGCCAAUUUUUCAUAAUUUAGCUUAUCUUAGCUUGCUUGUAACCGAAAUAGGCGCAUGGAUUGGAACUUCCUGGUACCUAGUUUCUUGUUGGCUGCACUCAAGAAGAUGAAAUUAUCAAAUAUGUCUGGCACUGACUUUAACCUUAAUGUGGCAUUGCUAAAAAAACAUUCUAAGUGAUGCAACUGUUCUGGAAGAGCGUUGCGUUUCUUUCCAUGACGAUGAAUCUGACCAGGAACUAAACUCACUAAGCACCGAAUACAUGUUCUGUAAGAUUGAUUCCAUGUAAGCACUGAUUACAUGUUCUGUAAGAUCAGGAACUAAACUCACUAUGCAUUGAAUCUGAUCAGGAACUAAUCUCACAAGCACUGAAUCUGAUCAGGAACUAAACUCACUAAGCACUGAAUAAUUGUUAUGUAAGCACUGAAUGCAUUUUAUGUACGGACUAAACUCACUAAGCACUGAGUACAUGUUCUGUAAGCUAAAAAUGUUCAAAGUGAUGCUUCCAACAAGUUCAUUGAGUUGUCAGAUUGAGUUUUUUGGUAAUAUGAUUUGUGAUUCAAGUAA